This 253-nucleotide ribosomal RNA is filed under the name uncultured bacterium. RNAcentral's name for it is "partial 16S ribosomal RNA". It matches the Rfam family "Bacterial small subunit ribosomal RNA", at positions 524 to 776 of the family's 1533-position model. The record is from RNAcentral.
UACGGGGGGGGCAAGCGUUGUCCGGAAUUACUGGGCGUAAAGGGCGUGUAGGCGGCCUGUUAAGUCGGACGUGAAAUCCCUCGGCUCAACCGGGGAACUGCGUCCGAAACUGGCGGGCUUGAAUUCGGGAGAGGGAUGUGGAAUUCCAGGUGUAGCGGUGAAAUGCGUAGAUAUCUGGAGGAACACCGGUGGCGAAGGCGGCAUCCUGGACCGACAUUGACGCUGAGGCGCGAAAGCCAGGGGAGCAAACGGG